Camellia sinensis is the source of this 739-nucleotide long non-coding RNA. RefSeq lists it as uncharacterized. The record is from RefSeq and is a predicted model, not a curated record. Lineage: Eukaryota; Viridiplantae; Streptophyta; Magnoliopsida; Ericales; Theaceae.
CUCUAUCUCUCUCUCUCUUUUCAAUGUCUCUCUCUCUCCGCCUCUCCCUCUCUGCUGCUCCUCUCCCCUUCCUUUCUCACCGCCGCUCUACCAACCGCGCCUCCGCCACUCCCCCUAGUGGUCGCGGGCAACCAGAGCACCAAUUCACCUAGUUUGCCCUAUUUUCUCUCUCUAAAAUCUCUCUAUAUUCGUAUAUCUGUCUAUCCAUCAACGGCGAGACCGACGAUGUGCUAGAGAUUGCGACGACGAUGAAUCAAAAGAAGGUGAGGAAACUAAAUGGAACGCUUCUCAAUAUGAAGCUCUCCUCAAAGGAGGUGAACAAGUCACCUCUGUUCUUGAAGAGAUUGUCGAGCUUUAAACCUUGAAAAUGGAGGGGACCGUGUUUAGCCCUGCUUUGGAGGGAAUGAAGAAUGUCAAGUCUGACAGAGGAGAACUGCUGAUAGAGCCUUUCUUGGAUGUCUGCAAACACAUUGCCUAUUCUAGACAAAUUUGGAGCUGUAAUAACGGUUGUGAAAUCUGAUAUUGGUGAUUACUUUUGCGUGGGCUAUUGUAGAUGUGUACGAAGAGCAUUUGUUCUGUAUAUGGAAAACAUUUAUUUUGGAACAAUCAUCUGUUUUGAAAAUCCAGUGUUUUUGUAUGUAAUAUUUAAUUUAGAUAGAUUAUACUUAGUUUGUGUGGAUUUAUAUGAUAUUUGGAAUAUGAUGUUACAAGUUAAAGUUUUUUAAUAGUUGAUAAUGAA